RNAcentral lists this ribosomal RNA (466 nucleotides) under uncultured bacterium. RNAcentral's name for it is "bacterial SSU rRNA". It matches the Rfam family "Bacterial small subunit ribosomal RNA", at positions 28 to 507 of the family's 1533-position model. The record is from RNAcentral.
GACGAACGCUGGCGGCGUGCUUAACACAUGCAAGUCGAACGGUGACGAGGAGCUUGCUCCUCUGAUCAGUGGCGAACGGGUGAGUAACACGUGAGCAACCUGCCCCAGACUCUGGGAUAACAGUUGGAAACAGCUGCUAAUACCGGAUACGAGACGGAGAGGCAUCUCUACCGUCUGGAAGGUUUUUCGGUCUGGGAUGGACUCGCGGCCUAUCAGCUAGUUGGUGAGGUAAUGGCUCACCAAGGCGACGACGGGUAGCCGGCCUGAGAGGGCGACCGGCCACACUGGGACUGAGACACGGCCCAGACUCCUACGGGAGGCAGCAGUGGGGAAUAUUGCACAAUGGGCGAAAGCCUGAUGCAGCGACGCCGCGUGAGGGAUGACGGCCUUCGGGUUGUAAACCUCUUCCAGCAGGGAAGAAGCGAAAGUGACGGUACCUGCAGAAGAAGCACCGGCUAACUACGUG